Molecule: ribosomal RNA, 492 nt
Filed under: uncultured bacterium
Lineage: Bacteria
Description: partial 16S ribosomal RNA
Rfam family: Bacterial small subunit ribosomal RNA
Source: RNAcentral
AGUGAACGCUGGCGGUAGGCCUAACACAUGCAAGUCGAACGGCAGCACAGUAAGAGCUUGCUCUUACGGGUGGCGAGUGGCGGACGGGUGAGGAAUACAUCGGAAUCUACUUUUUCGUGGGGGAUAACGUAGGGAAACUUACGCUAAUACCGCAUACGACCUACGGGUGAAAGCAGGGGAUCUUCGGACCUUGCGCGAUUGAAUGAGCCGAUGUCGGAUUAGCUAGUUGGCGGGGUAAAGGCCCACCAAGGCGACGAUCCGUAGCUGGUCUGAGAGGAUGAUUGGCCACACUGGAACUGAGACACGGUCCAGACUCCUACGGGAGGCAGCAGUGGGGAAUAUUGGACAAUGGGCGCAAGCCUGAUCCAGCCAUACCGCGUGGGUGAAGAAGGCCUUCGGGUUGUAAAGCCCUUUUGUUGGGAAAGAAAAGCAGCAGGUUAAUACCCCGCUGUUCUGACGGUACCCAAAGAAUAAGCACCGGCUAACUUCGUG